UACGGGUCAACGAACUCGCCCAACUCCAAACGGCUCGACUCUUGAAUCGAAUCGAGAUCCUCCCCAAAUAAAUACCCUAACCCCCAAAUUUCAAUGGCAAUUAAAAAUGGCAUAUUUCUUGAUCUCUCUCCUCUUCUUCCUCGUUUCCUUUGGUUUCUCUUCAUCUUCGAUGGUUUCUAGAGAGGUUUUUCCAAUGGAGGGCAACAUCGCGUGGGUUGUUCAAGUCUCUGAUCUCCAUAUUAGCGCUUAUCAUCAUGAUCGAGCUGAGGAUUUGGAUAGAUUGCUGGGACCUGCGCUCAGAAUUAUUCGACCCCAUUUGCUUCUCAUCACCGGAGACAUCACUGAUGCUAAGAACAGAAAAAGAACAAGCACAAGACAGGAUGAGUCAGAAUGGAUUCAAUACAAAAGGUCUAUGGAUGCAGUUGUUAGACAAGGUGGCAUAGAAAAGCGAAGAAUAUUCGAUAUAAGAGGAAAUCACGACAAGUAUGGAGUUCCUUAUGCUGGCAGCAGUUUGGAUUUCUUUUCCUCUUAUAGCAUCAGUUCACAGCUCAACAGGCUUAGCAACAUCCACAGCAUAUCUCUUGUGGGAGAUGAUAGGACAUAUAUGUUUCUGGGUAUAGAUGACACGAUGCACAUAGGUAUCCGUGGACCAUCAAAUUUGUUUGGCCAUCCAACUGAUGACCAUAUUAAUACUAUUGAAUCAGAACUUAGAUAUUGGGAGAACACUCACCCUAACUCAUCAGUUACCAAAGUAGUAUUUGGACACUUUCCAAUGUCAUUUACUGCUUCAUCCAAGAAAGGACAGAGAUAUGAAACUAUUUUUGCAAAGCAAUCUAUAUCUGGUUACAUUUGUGGUCACCUACAUGCAAAAUUUAGCAAACAACUUUGGAAGCGGCAUUCAGUAAAAGUGGCUGAUACAGUUAAGAAACAGUUCUGGGAGUGGGAAUUAGGAGACUGGAAAGAGUUCAAACUGAUCAGAAUUUUAUCUAUUGAUGAAGGGCAAGUUUCAUUUGCGGAUAUGGAACUUUCUAACAAACAAAAUGAUUUUCCAACCACCAUUCUCAUCACAUACCCCACAGACUCAAGGAGUAUGAAUCGCUUGGAUGCUGAGCCACAAACUCAAUUAUUAAGAAAUGAUAUAAAUACUCUUGUUUUUUCUGCUUUACCAAUCCGAAAUGUGACUGCUAAGGUUUUUGACUCGUCAAGAGCUUUUAAGAUAGUUGAGGAAAUACCACUGCUGCCUGCUAUUUUCGAUUCUUCCAUUGACAACAAACCUCUAUAUCAAGCCAAAUGGAAUGCUGAAAAUUACAGAAACGAUCCUUCUGCUGCUCGUUACUGGUUGCAGGUUUUUGUGCUAGAUUCUCAAGGUAAGGAGACCCAGAGUGCACUCAGACCAUUUUCAGUUGAAGGUAAAGUAGCAGCAGAAUAUCCCACUACUUUGUUGGUACAUUUGGUUUUCAGGAUUCGAUGGGAGGCCUUAUAUUCAAUACUUUUAUGGGGCAACCUUUGCUUUCUUUUUAUAUUUCUUUCCCUUCCCAAACUUCUGAAUCAAUUUAUGGAUAGAAGUGUGUCAUAUCAGAAAUGGGCAGCUUCAGUUUCCGUCUCUUCACCUGUCCAGCAAAGAAGAGUCCUCUUUAGUGUACUCUGGGUGCUGAUUGAGGGCUCGAGGAAUAAGGCAUUAUGGUGUUGUAUGGUAUUUUACCUUUUGUGGCUUGUCAGAUUGCCAUGGUUUUGGGGUCAUAUGACAUCUGAGAAUGGGGAUAUUGCAACGAUGUAUAUAUUUGGGUGGAGCGUAAAUAGUCCUUAUACAAUGAACCUGAUGGGGCUUGGCAAUCCUGAUGUAUUGACUAUCACAUUGCCUUUCAUGUAUUUUGUUGUUACUCCUCUAAUGCUUCUCAUCUAUUGCUUGUGUGCGGAGAGAUCAGCCGCUUGCUUUCAGGCUUCUGCCAGAAAAACAGUAGAAUCGGAGCAGAGAGUGGCCAAAACGAUGAGGACAAAAAGAAGGGUUCUUCUCUUGGCAUGUGCCAUUUUCACUUGCAUACAUUUUAAGCAAUGCUGUUCUCUCAUGAGAUUUUAUGGAGCGGGAACUGUUGCCUUGUCGCCUGCCUUCUCAUGGGCACCGCCUUUAUUACUGGCCACAGCUAUUUAUUCUACUAGUUAAGCAUCAUAUCUUAGAAGCUUGCUAAAAGUUGGUGAUUCUUUUCCAACUGAGUUUGAAGUUGCUCCCUUGUACAACUAUAUAGAAGUAGCAGGCGAUGAUGAUACAAUCUCAUUGGUUAACAAGAUGUAAUGGGAUGUUCUAGCUUCAAUAGUCUCAAUGUGUUGCAGUCGAUGACGAAGUGGAGGAAGAUGUGAUCAGUGGACUCUGAACUAUUGUUACAAAAGAGGCAUGUGACAUUAAUGUGGCCAACUCCUCUCGGCAUGAUCACCAACACUCUGCAGUUCUUGAUUUGGCUCCUCCACCAUUGGCUCCAGAAGGAUCAGUAACAAUUGAAGGUGGUGAUGACUGGGAGACUGCAGAUAUGAGAAAAGUGCCCACUGGUGCAAAUCCUCUUCAUAACCGAUAAAAUACUAUAUUUUCUACCGUUUCUUUAGUUUUCGAAAUGUUUUUUUCUUUUCCUGUAUGAGGAAAACUUGUUGUAUUAUAGAUUUGUGUUUUCUUCAUAUCAAAUGAGAGAUUUGUAGUAUUUGAAUUUUUUUA
Asparagus officinalis (garden asparagus) is the source of this 2701-nucleotide RNA transcript. It is a transcript of the gene named putative metallophosphoesterase At3g03305, with no coding region annotated. The transcript has 6 exons. The record is from RefSeq and is a predicted model, not a curated record. NCBI's taxonomy places the organism in Eukaryota, Viridiplantae, Streptophyta, Magnoliopsida, Asparagales, Asparagaceae.